GACGAACGCUGGCGGCGUGCUUAACACAUGCAAGUCGAACGGAAAGGCCCUGCUUUUGUGGGGUGCUCGAGUGGCGAACGGGUGAGUAACACGUGAGUAACCUGCCCUUGACUUUGGGAUAACUUCAGGAAACUGGGGCUAAUACCGGAUAGGAGCUCCUGCUGCAUGGUGGGGGUUGGAAAGUUUCGGCGGUUGGGGAUGGACUCGCGGCUUAUCAGCUUGUUGGUGGGGUAGUGGCUUACCAAGGCUUUGACGGGUAGCCGGCCUGAGAGGGUGACCGGCCACAUGGGGACUGAGAUACGGCCCGGACUCCUACGGAAGGCAGCAGUGGGGAAUAUUGAACAAUGGGCGGAAGCCUGAUGCAGCAACGCCGCGUGCGGGAGGACGGCCUUCGGGUUGUAAACCGCUUUCGCCUGUGACGAAGCGUGAGUGACGGUAAUGGGGAAAGAAGCACCGGCUAACUACGU
This 467-nucleotide ribosomal RNA is filed under the name uncultured bacterium. Its description in RNAcentral is "partial 16S ribosomal RNA". It matches the Rfam family "Bacterial small subunit ribosomal RNA", at positions 28 to 506 of the family's 1533-position model. The record is from RNAcentral.